RNAcentral lists this ribosomal RNA (286 nucleotides) under uncultured bacterium. Its description in RNAcentral is "partial 16S ribosomal RNA". It matches the Rfam family "Bacterial small subunit ribosomal RNA", at positions 29 to 334 of the family's 1533-position model. The record is from RNAcentral.
AAAACACUAACGAACGCUGGCGGCAUGCCUAACACAUGCAAGUCGAACGAGAUCUUCGGAUCUAGUGGCGCACGGGUGCGUAACGCGUGGGAAUCUGCCCUUGGGUACGGAAUAACUCAGAGAAAUUUGUGCUAAUACCGUAUAAUGUCUUCGGACCAAAGAUUUAUCGCCCAAGGAUGAGCCCGCGUAGGAUUAGCUAGUUGGUGAGGUAAAAGCUCACCAAGGCGACGAUCCUUAGCUGGUCUGAGAGGAUGAUCAGCCACACUGGGACUGAGACACGGCCCAG